RNAcentral lists this ribosomal RNA (415 nucleotides) under uncultured prokaryote. RNAcentral's name for it is "bacterial SSU rRNA". It matches the Rfam family "Bacterial small subunit ribosomal RNA", at positions 505 to 918 of the family's 1533-position model. The record is from RNAcentral.
GUGUCAGCCGCCGCGGUAAUACGGAGGGUGCGAGCGUUAAUCGGAAUUACUGGGCGUAAAGGGUGCGUAGGUGGUUUGAUAAGUUGGCUGUGAAAUACCGGGGCUUAACCUUGGGGCGUCAGCCAAGACUGUCAGGCUUGAGUAUAGGAGAGGGCAGUGGAAUUUCCGGUGUAGCGGUGAAAUGCGUAGAGAUCGGAAGGAACACCAGUGGCGAAGGCGUCUGCCUGGCCUAAUACUGACACUGAGGCACGAAAGCGUGGGUAGCAAACAGGAUUAGAUACCCUGGUAGUCCACGCUGUAAACGAUGUCAACUAGCUGUUGGGGACAUAAAGGUUCUUAGUGGCGCAGCUAACGCGAUAAGUUGACCGCCUGGGGAGUACGGUCGCAAGAUUAAAACUUAAAUGAAUUGACGGGG